AACACACAGAAUAAAACCUUGGAGGAAAUCAGAGGAAUGUUCCAGAGAAACUACAGGAACUAUUGACCCCCCUUCUCCUUCCCCCGGCGUCAACAGCAUUUACACAUGGAAUUAGUCAAAGAGACAGAUGCAAACAAAACUAGAGCAUUUUAAUGGUCGUCAAUGUAAAAUCUAUACAAUGGCAAAUUCCUCAGUUACGGGUGAUACCAAGCAACUAACAUCAGGCAGAAGCUACAUCGAUGGAAUUGGGAAGAUGGACAUUCAACAGGGAUGGAGAGAAGAUGGCUACUGGAUGUUCUCUGGACUGGAUCCUGUAUCAGCAGCAGCAGUGGAAGUUCCAUGUUGGAUCUGGCUAUCAUCAAUAUAAUUUAUUAAUAUCAGAAUACAGACCUUUAGACUAAUGUGAGAAGUGUUGUCCAGUGUUCUUCUGGACAGGUAUAUAAUGGGACACUUUACGUUUCCUCAGUCCCUUCUGGACAGGUACAUAAUGGGACACUUCACGUUUCCUCAGCCCCUUCUGGACAGGUACAUAAUGGGACACAUCACGUUUCCUCAGUCCCUUCUGGACAGGUACAUAAUGGGACAGUCCACGUUUCAUCACAUCCCCCAUGGAAAGUUACAGUCCACUUUAACCACCAACACCCCUUGCCUCCAUAACGUACAUGGGACAGUCCACUUUAACCACCAACACCCCUUGCCUCCAUAACGUACAUGGGACAGUCCACUUUAACCACCAACACCCCUUGCCUCCAUAACGUACAUGGGACAGUCCACUUUAACCACCAACACCCCUUGCCUCCAUAACGUACAUGGGACAGUCCACUUUAACCACCAACACCCCUUGCCUCCAUAACGUACAUGGGACAGUCCACUUUAACCACCAACACCCCUUGCCUCCAUAACGUACAUGGGACAGUCCACUUUAACCACCAACACCCCUUGCCUCCAUAACGUACAUGGGACAGUCUCACAUUUCUUCUGGAAUAAGACAUGACAGUCAUCCACUCCAGUUCACCCAAUGGGAUUCCAACAGAAUUACUUUUAUUCUACUGCACAUGUCUAAAGCACUGCCUUUCUGUUUAAAACAUCUAUGACAUCACACUGAGCUGCUGAUGUACUUAUUGAACAUGAUACAUGUACUUCUAUUUUCUAAUUCACUAUAUUAUGCUUUUAUUGAAACUUGAAGAAUGCAGAUGAAGAUUUCUGAGGGCACUUCAAUAUGCCACUAUUUCAACAACAUAUAAUAAGCCUGUAUAAUUGAGACAUGUUUACCUUCUCGUCGUAUCAAAUGUGACAAUAUGACAGUACAUUGCAGCACUUGCCACUUGUCAGGUCGCCAUUGUAAACAAUGAUUUGUCUCACCUGGAUAAUUAAAUGUUAGAUUAAACAAAUAAUACAUUGUUCCUCACCGGUUUUGCAAACCAGUUGACUUCUCUAUCCAAACAGCUUCUAUCCAAACAGUAAAUGUUGACAUGUAUUAAU
Oncorhynchus kisutch (coho salmon) is the source of this 1482-nucleotide long non-coding RNA. RefSeq lists it as uncharacterized. NCBI's taxonomy places the organism in Eukaryota, Metazoa, Chordata, Actinopteri, Salmoniformes, Salmonidae. The transcript is spliced from 3 exons. The record is from RefSeq and is a predicted model, not a curated record.